This is a long non-coding RNA of Leopardus geoffroyi (Geoffroy's cat), 1559 nucleotides long. RefSeq lists it as uncharacterized. Lineage: Eukaryota; Metazoa; Chordata; Mammalia; Carnivora; Felidae. The record is from RefSeq and is a predicted model, not a curated record. The transcript has 3 exons.
GGGAGGGACCUGCGUGCUGGGAGAUAAAUUGUCUGCUGUGACUGCCCCAGUGUGCCUGUCCAUCAGACACCCGCUCUUGCAAGAACAUUGAUUAAAGCCUUGCUUUGCUGUGCUCCGAGUCUCCGCAUCCCUCCUUUGACUGGGUCGGCAGGGUGAUUUCUCACAGGUGUUUCAGACCACCUCUUCCCAAGGAUUUCAUCUGAGACAAGCUGAAGAGCAGUGAAAAUUCCUGAUGCCCUCCAACCACUACAGCCUACGCCAUCCUUUCAACCACCUGCCUUAUACAUUAUACUACAGCUGCCUGCAAUCCCAUGAUUCCUGCACACUGUGGGGACAGAGCUCAUGCACAUGCUGUAUCCGUGUUACAAGAGACUCCUCUACGCGCUGCCCUGGCCUCAGCCUGUGCACAUCAGCCAGGAGUGUUUGCUGUAUCCAGAGAGACAGAUUGGUCCCGUUUAAUCUAAUAAACGGAGAAGGAGCUAACAGUCACCAAGCUCUGGACUGGAACGGGGGAUACAGAGGUGAAGAGCUCAGUUUGUGUCCUUGUGGAACUCACCACCCAGAUUUGGCCCAUUGCCCUGGUCUACGGAUCUCUCUUGGGAUUCGAUCCUGGACCCGUCCACCACCUGGCCCAGGAUCAGCACCCGCGGAUCCUCCCAGCGUCCCAGGCAAGUUGGCAGUCAGCAUCUUGCACUGUGUCAAUGGGCACUCACCAUUCCCAGGGUCUCUAAUUUAUGUUUCCUCUUCAUUUCAUCUCCCUUUUGAAUAUGAGCUCCUACAAUCUCUACACUGCUUCCAAGCAGGAAUUAUGUGUCUUGAGGAAUAAUGAACCAAGAUUCGGGAGAUGUGGGUGCUAGGUUCAGCGCCGCCGCACUGUUGUCCUUUUUUUUUUUUUUUUUUUUUCCAAAAAAAAUCACUUCAUGAACGUCAUUCCCCCUCUUUGUGGUCUUGAUUUUCCCAUACGUAAAAGAGAGGGGAAAAAUGCCUGCUCUGCUUUCCUCACAGAGUUGUUACAAGAAUCAGAUAAUGAUGUAUCUAAACAUGCCAUGGGACAAUCUAAAACCCUUUUGAAAUGGAAGGUAGGACUCCAGAACAGCCAGAGCCAGAUGACAGGAGUCAGGGAGAGUCUGUGCCAUGUGGGAGACUGCUAGGGAGUCUCCAAAACCAUCAUUCCCCACCCCCACCCCAUUCACCGUAUCCAGUAAGGCAUCUUGGCCUCCACCCCCCCGCCCCGCACCAACCCCCGCAAGUUUUCAUGUCAAGCGUGGAGACCCCUCCUCAGAGAAGACGUCCCAAAAAAUCCCUCUGUGCUCGGUGGCAAGAGGGGAGUCUUCAUAAGAAGGGAGACUUUUAAAGUGCUGUUACAGCCAGUUUAACCUGUGGCCUUAUCAUGGCACAGGUUGAAGUUUCUCAAAAAUUGUCAAAGAAGAUUGCAUUCGUCACAGCAACGAACCCUUAGAAUCUUCUUUUCAUAUGUUCCUCAAGAGCUCAAAUAAAUGAUGGUGAUACCCUAAAUCUGCGUCUUUUUCACAAUGUUUGUUUAUUUAUUUAUUUUUGAG